RNAcentral lists this ribosomal RNA (2916 nucleotides) under Triticum aestivum (bread wheat). RNAcentral's name for it is "partial small subunit ribosomal RNA". Lineage: Eukaryota; Viridiplantae; Streptophyta; Magnoliopsida; Poales; Poaceae. The record is from RNAcentral.
CUCUCUCGUGAACCCCACCCAACCCCUCGUGCCCUCCUCUCUCUCUCUCUCGAACCCUAGCGCUCCACUCCUCCCUGGCCGCCGCCACCUCCGGCGCCCUCUGUCCGGCGAGAUCCAUAUGGAUCGAUCCCCUCCAACCCAUGACUCCACGACUCCUCCUCCUCCUCUCUGGAUCGAUCACCCCCAACCCAUGACUCCUCCUCUCUGGAUCGAUCCGCAACCGCUUCCAACCCAGCCGCCGCCGCAAACCUCCCCCAAUCCCGGCCUCCUCCACGCCGAUUCGAGCGACACUCCCCACUUCCAGACCAAACUCUAGCCUGAGACCCCUUCCUCCUCGAUGGCCAACCCCUCCAUGGCGGCCGGCGGCGGGGUGCCGUUGGCGGAGGGGGUCCGCGCCGUCAGGGCCCAGAUCCGCAACCGCUUCCGCGUGGCGCCCGUCGACCGCGUGGCUGUGGCGUUGGCGGCGGCGAGCCAGUCCCUGAGAAACCGCGAGAUCCUCGACGCUGUGGGCACCACCGCGGCGGCGCUAAGCACCACCGAUGCCGAUGGGGUCCAACAAGGCGGACAAGCCGCUGCGGCGGAUCGGCGCGUUGUUCGAGCAGCUUGCGGCCGUCGCCAAGCAGCAGCAGCAGACCGCGAUGGCGGCGGGGGACUUCUCGCGCGCCUGCUCCAACGUCUCCGUCCUCUUCUGCUACCUCGGCAUCGCCUUCAAGUUUGCGGAGAUGGACUACGUAGCCAAGGCCAUCGGGGGAGCUCUGGUGGCAGCAUAAGGAGCAGAGCAGCAGCACUGGCACGGGCUUAUAUAUUGUUGGCUUGUAGCAUAAAUUGUUGGCACGACAGCAUAAAUCGUUCAGCGUCUUGACGCACUAAUGCAAUCGUACUGACAAUUGGUAGUAACCAAAAUCAUAUAAAGGCAGUCUGCUCUCCUUUAAAUUAUAUUUCAUAAACUAUAUUGAACCACUGCAGCUGCUAUAGAUUUGAGAUUCACAUCUUUUUUUACAUUGCCUGCUCUAGGAAGUUACUGUUGCGUAGUUAGUCUUUUUGCACUGCAUUUGUACAAUUGUAUAUUCUUGCCAUUACUAGGUGAUUCCUUAAAUUAUUCAGUUCGUUGUAGCAUACCAGUUUGAUGGAAUGCCUAAGGCCUAAGGAGAUAAACAUUGGUAUCCAUAAUAGAUCUACCUAAACCAACAGGCACAAAACAUGCAUAUCCCUUUAAUCUGCAUUAGUGCGUCUAAGUGGUUAGUGUAUUGUAAGCUCCAUCCAUGGAGCAGUGAAAUAAGCUGACGCUGUAUAACGUGCAGCUAGCUUGCUGUUUAGAAAUUUUCCCGUUUUUAAGUAUUACUUUUCUCUAUAUCUAUGAAUUGGAUUGUCGAUCUUUCCUGGAGUCGAUUUUGCGCUAGAGCUUCUAAAACUAACCAGUCCAGGGAAGAACUUCUUUCUUAUCUUAAUGUUUUGUAGAACCCCAUGAUUGACCAUAUGUAUUGCAUGCUAUCAUUCACGAUACAUGUUCUGUCUUUCCUAUUAUGUGUUCUGAGGGUUCAAUCUACAAGAAAACCCAUCAGACCUGUAUAUGUAUCUGAUUUAGAUCACUUAAUUUCAUACAUGGAUUGCUGAGGUUUUUUGAUCUUGCAGGUCGCGGCGACCACCAAGAAGACACCCAACUCCCGCACCCCGAACUACCCUACCCGAGCCUGCCGUCGCAGCUGCUGUGUCAAGUCCACAGCAUCACCAUGCAUGCUGACAAGGACAAUGACGAGGUCUACGCACAGAUGACUCUGCAACCAAUAAACUCUAAGUACUGUCGGAAACUGAGCUUGGUGAAGAUAUUCAGAACAUGCUGAACUGCGUUUUCUCUACGUGUGCUUUUAUCGGUUUGCAUGCUGCAUGUUUGAUGUUUGGCCUGAGCUGGGGACGAAAUGGUACUGAAUGCCUAAAAGUAAAGUUAACAGUGUUCAGUUUAAGUGUACAUUUCGAGAUCAGUGCCAGUGUUUAUAAACGCUCAAAAUCUGUACAGUAUUUCUUAGAUUAACAAGUGCUUACUGUAUAAUUUAGGAAAGUUUUAAUAAUACUACAGCAGAUGCUAAUUAAAUCAGGAAGUGAAGCACUACCAAACGUACCGUAUACAAUGUUCAGUUCAAGUUUAAUUUUCAGUUUAGUGCCAGAGUUUAUCAUCAACCCAAAAAAAAUAUCUGAUUUUCACAUUGACGAGUACUACUGCUUACUUCUCCCAUUCCUUACUUGAAGACUCUGUUUUGAACCGAGCCUUGCAGCAAGGAGGGAAUGGCUGCGUCUGUUUUGUGCUUGGACGCCUUCUCCUAGUUGUGCUAAAAUUGAGGUGCCUGUUUAAUUAACAAGCACCUUUCAUCCCCACUGUGACAGUAAUGCAUUGAGGUGCCUCUGGACUUUAGUGUAUUAGGUUGCCAGGAGUAGUAAAACUUAGUGUUGUAUUGAGGAUUGAGGGUGGCUGGGCUUAUAAGUUAAUCAUCAGCGUGAAUGCUUUGUUUGUCUGAUCCUCACAAGUUAAUGCUUCGCUCGUCUGGGUGUGUGAUAAUGCCAUUUGUCUUGUGCAAUCAGAUUAAAUUUCUGUUUGUUAUGGUAAUAUAAAAAAUAUUCGUGCUGUCAAAAUUUUCACAGUGCGUGCCUUUCAUUUCUUUAGUUUGAUUGUUUCCCUUGUAUUCAAUAUGCUUUUAGUGGCUGAUCCUUCCAUUUUUGUUGUGGCAUCUUUAUUUUCACAGGUGUUGUGUGUUCUAGAAGAUGGAAGAGGAAGAAAAUCUAUUUUUGUUGAACUAAAUUUUCUGUAUUAUGAUUUGUUGUAUGUAUUAUUUGAUAGUUUUGUAUAGAACAAGUGAUACUAUUUUGUAGGGUUUUAUGGCCUGUGAUGUAAACAUAUUUAGUGCUGAAAUAUGAAAUUAUUUG